GAGCCCUCACCGCUGCCAGCACAGGCUGCUCCUCAGGGGCUGAGCUGCUGUCCUUCAGGUGGCGGGACGAUCCUGAGACAGUCAGCUUGCAAGCCUGUUUGGUUUUUGCGUGCAGAUGCUGCGCCUUUGUACCUAUGGUUACAUGUCCAAGGAAGCCAGAUGCAAACUUCAGGCAUCUUCCUUGAUCUCCACACAUGGACCCUUUCCACCUUGUAUUGUGAGAGUCUCUCAGUGAAUCUGGGGUUCACCAAUUGGGCUGCACCAGCUGGCCACUGAACCUCAGGCAUCCUCCUGCCUCUGCCUUGCCAGCUGUUUGCCCCCUUGUCUAGGUGGUGCUGGGAUCUGAACUCAGGCUGGCAUGCCAAGCACACCCGCUGAGUCGCUUCCCCAGCCUGUGUUUCAUUCAUUUUAGAAAAAUGGACUAGCCCACGAAGUCGCCACUUUAAUGGUCAGGUUACCCUGUCUGAGUUCAGGGACAGCUGCUUUUUGCUGUUGCCCUCUUCGGCCCACCCGUACACAUUUUGUGCUGAUUGUACUUCCGUGGCCUGCUGACAGGAUUUCCCUGUCUGCUGGGGGAGGUGCUGGCCCUUUUGGAUGACCACAUCGGGCUUACUGAGUGCCUAGCCAAACCGUAUCAGAUGCUUUCUUCCCACGAGUUCUAGAUGUCCUAUGUGGGGACCAAAAACCAAAACAAACACCAAACACCAAACGUGUUCUCUUAGAUCACAGCUUUAAGGACUGGGUUGGCACUGGGGGUGGAGGCCUGGGGCUGUGGAACAGAUGGCUACAAACAAAAUAUGGCCCUGUCACCUAGGAGAUCCUACGGAUACAGCUACAGUCGUCUGUCUUAAGCACAGUGUGUCCUCGUGUGCCCCCCAGAAGGGAAAAGCAAACCCCCACACCCACCACUUGAGCUUGAAGUCUUCCGUCUUCCUGUCUCCCUGCAGGUGAACCAGAACAGUACCUCCCCACACCUGGGAAGUUCGUGAUUUCCAGUCUCCACAGGGCUCAGAUGCCUGAGUCCUCGACCUGCACACGGAAGCUGGACUAACCCAAGCACAUGGCUCUCGGUCAUGCCAGGAUGGAGCAGUCAUACAUCUCGGCAGAAGCUAGCUCAGAACCUCUGUUCUGGGCAACACCGAGGAGGGAGAGACUACUUCGGUUUCAGAGACUUGGGGAUUUUCUAUUUUUUUUUUCUCCUUGAGAACUUUUUUUAAAAGAAUUGAAUUUGCUAUCUUCCCUAAUGGACAGGCUCCUUGGUGACCUCAUCUCCUGGGAUAAGACCUGUGACCCGUGCCUCUCCUUGACUGGACGCUGAACUCAAAGGAUCUAUUUAAGAGUUUAAUAUAUGGGCUCUCCUCUCUUUAGUCCUACUCAGUUUCACAGAGAAAAGAAAUUAAUUAUUUGAAUAAAGUAGACAGGCUGCUGUCUGUGCCUUACUUCACACAGUGA
Molecule: long non-coding RNA, 1452 nt
Filed under: Rattus norvegicus (Norway rat)
Lineage: Eukaryota; Metazoa; Chordata; Mammalia; Rodentia; Muridae
Description: long non-coding RNA NONRATT008092
Source: RNAcentral